RNAcentral lists this ribosomal RNA (196 nucleotides) under uncultured bacterium. RNAcentral's name for it is "partial 16S ribosomal RNA". It matches the Rfam family "Bacterial small subunit ribosomal RNA", at positions 326 to 539 of the family's 1533-position model. The record is from RNAcentral.
ACGCUCGACACCUACGGGACAGCAGUGGGGAAUAUUGCACAAUGGGGGAAACCCUGAUGCAGCGACGCCGCGUGAGCGAAGAAGUAUUUCGGUAUGUAAAGCUCUAUCAGCAGGGAAGAAACUGACGGUACCUGACUAAGAAGCACCGGCUAAAUACGUGCCAGCAGCCGCGGUAAUCUGAGCGGGCUGGCAAGGC